Molecule: RNA transcript, 1872 nt
Organism: Ricinus communis (castor bean)
Lineage: Eukaryota; Viridiplantae; Streptophyta; Magnoliopsida; Malpighiales; Euphorbiaceae
Exons: 7
Source: RefSeq, a predicted model, not a curated record
GUGACUGAAUUGGGCAGUUUCAGAAAAAGUGGGUAAAUUGGCCAUCAAUGCUAAACUCAGGGGGCAAAUUGCUCUUUAAACGAUAUAGCGGCAUCCUGUAGUGUAUUGUAGAAUUCCCCCAACUUGAACCACACGGGUUGGAAGCCGGGGGAGUCAUGAUAUUGCACAGUGCGGCUAUGGUGGCACUUUGUAGACCGUCUGCACUUAGGCCAGUGUGCUUGGCUUCCAACACCAAAAUCAACACCGAACAGCUACGUACCCAGCUUGAUCAGCUUCACGUGGAAUCCGAUACUACCAGAGCCAAAGCAAAUAGUGCAAGACUGAGAUUUAUGCGAUUAUCAGAGGCAGCAGAGAAGCUUAAACGGCAAGCGGCUAUUAGUAUUCACUCUGGGAAGGAAAAUGAGGCAAGGGAACUUCUUUUCCAGAAGAAGAAGGUUAUGCAAGCUAUGGAAAGAUCAAAGAGUCGAAUUGAAUUGCUUGAUCAGCUUUCUGCUAAACUUAAUGAGGCAAUAUCUAUUAAAGAAAGCUUGUUAAUUGGGAAUAUUGCUCUUGAUCUCGAGAAUGACAGUAAAGAUGCUUCUGGUCCGGUUCGAAUUAUAUCUCCUAAGGAGGGAAUUGUAGAUGACAAAGAUGAGGAUAAAUACUUCUCUAGUGUCCCGAAUGGUAGCAGCAAUCAAGACCUGCAGUUAUACUCAGAUGAUGAAGCAAGCCGGCAAGCUGAUAAAGAGCUAGGAUCUCUCAGCAAUGAUGUCGGUAUUGAAGAUAGCAUGGUUACAGGCUUAGUUGGUAUAUCCUCUUAUGAGGACUUCUUGGAACAUCUAGAUUUACAGCUCAACAGAAUUGAAGCAGAACUUGUCACUAUUCUGAAUGUGUCAGCCUUGGUAAUCAAUGAUGAAGAUAAGCCAAAAAAUUCAAAGGUGCAACAAACUAUAGAGCUUCUUGAUAGUGUCCGUUCUAUAAGAAACAGAAUUGGCAGAAUUAUUCAGGGAAAGGCGGAGACAAUAUGAAGCUUUAUAUAAACUUCCUUUGGCAAGCAAGUUUCUGUCUCAAAUGUUGAAAGAGUGGACGCAAUAGCUACUAUGUAACUCCUGAAUAAGCCUAAUCCAAGGAAAUGGUUUUCAAGGAAAGAAAAGUGGGUGGAAACUCAAGAAAUAAGAGUGCAACUUUUGAUACAGCUGCUUUUCUAAUAGUAAUCAACAGUAUCUUAAUAGUAUUUAUUUACAAUUUCCAAAUACCAAAUACCAAAUACAAGCUGACUCCUUUAGAAAUUAAGCAACUGAGAGUACAAUAAUUUUUGGGAUAAUGAAGCUGUCAUGGAUAUCUUUAUAAUGGCUUGCAGAAGAAUACUUGCAAUAAUCAGAACCAGCUGACCGUGGUACAAUAUCAAACCUUGAAGGGGCCACCAUCUGACUUGUUCUAACUCCCUCUCUCUUUGUCAGUUGCAACAAUUUGGCUCAGAACAUUGCAACGGGAAGAUGUAUGCCAUCUUCAUGCUGCUUUUUUUCCAAAGAAAUCAUGCUUUAGUGAAUGCCUCGAAUACACUUAGCGACCAGGAAAUUACAAGUUUGAGGUUUUAAAGCAGCUUCUCCAAAAAAAGAACUGGGGAAGGACAUGUCAUAGAUGGCGGAAAUAGCAACCCUACAGAUACUCCUUUGUGUUCAGUUCUAUGUUUCCUCCCUCCCCAAUCUGUACUAUGUUUCUGAUAUCAUUUAAUUUCUCUUCCUUGCAUUGUUACGUUGUCUGACUUGCAUAUUGACUCAGUGGCAUGUCCUUAGUAAAACCAUGGGUAAGAUGGAUGUAUACCAUGUAACUUGUCUUGAUUCGACUUGUUUCAACUUAAAAAAUAAGGCAAUAAUUUAAGUUUUUUCACUA